Molecule: ribosomal RNA, 254 nt
Filed under: uncultured bacterium
Lineage: Bacteria
Description: partial 16S ribosomal RNA
Rfam family: Bacterial small subunit ribosomal RNA
Source: RNAcentral
UACGUAGGGGGCAAGCGUUGUCCGGAUUUACUGGGCGUAAAGCGCGCGUAGGCGGAGCGUUAAGUCCGGUCUGAAAGCCCCCGGCUCAACCGGGGAAGGUGGCUGGAAACUGGCGUUCUGGAGGGCGAUAGAGGAGCGUGGAAUUCCUGGUGUAGCGGUGAAAUGCGUAGAUAUCAGGAGGAACACCGGUGGCGAAGGCGGCAUCCUGGACCAUGACUGACGCUGAGUGAGCGAAAGCCAGGGGAGCAAACGGG